GGCUGGGUUUCACUUUCAGUUUUCCCUUUCAGCUUGCUGUACAGACUGCUGCCACGCUGGCUGGCUAAGUAACUCUGUACAAACAUAUCUCCAUUUGCAUGCAUGGAAAUCUGCUACUACAAAUGUUUCAGUGGAUGCCACCCUCAGUUGCUACAACACUGGCUCUUGUUCUGCUGAGACUCCUCAUGGAGAUCCACACUCCGACUCUGGCCGGCUGCACUCCCCAGAUUCUGGGGUUCACUCUUUGGCAAUUUCUAUUGCCAGGAAGAGGUCAUUCGCAUUCAUAGAAGUCUUGGCUGAAGUCUCCAUCAAUAACAAGCUAUUGUCAUCUGCAUAUGCCUGUGCCUCUUCAUACUCCACCAUGCUCUUGUUGGCAAGGUCAGCUUUGUUCCCCGCCAAGGCAAUAAAAAUGCUAGAGCUGGCUUGCCGCUGUAGUUCCUUUACCCAUGUCUUUUCCUGGGAAAAAGUUUCCUGAUUAGUAAUAUCAUUGACCACAGUUGCAGCCUGUGCACCCCUGUAGUACAUGGGGGCUAGGCUGUGGUAUCACUUCUGCCCAGCCAUGUCCCAGAUUUCAAAUUUGACUUUUGUGUCAUCUAGACAAACAUAUUGGGUGAGGAAGGCUAGACAUCCCCACUGCAGAUGAUCCCAGCAGGACCAAUUUGACCUGGCAUAUUUAGCUGGCCUGGAGCUGCCCAUUGGGCCUGGCUGUACUUCUGCUAGUCAUAGCCAGGUUAUCAAAGUAGGAAAGGGUAGAGGGAGGGGGAUGCCACAGAUUCAUAUUGAAAUACCAGAGGCAAAUACAAUUUACAUUAAAAACACACAGUCAUAGUUUUAACUUAUUUCUAAUAUUUUCAUCACAUACUUUCUCAAAUUUUCGAGUCAUCAUUACUUGGAAUUUCCUCCUCUGGUAAUUUUAAAAUGUAUAUAUUCCCAGAAGUGCUACAAUCUGCAUCAAGAUGUUAUAUUGUAUCCAUUAAAAUGUUCAUAAAAGCUAAAUGGAAUGAGCAGUGUUUAAUUACUACUUUUUUACAAUAUCCUCACUGAGCACAUAUUGGUCUUGUCUGUGGUUCUCAACCUAUGAGUCACAACCCUUCUGAAAAACCUUUAUUUCCAAAAAUAUUUACAUUAUGAUGUAUAACAUUAGCAAACUUACAUUUAUG
Molecule: long non-coding RNA, 1160 nt
Filed under: Cricetulus griseus (Chinese hamster)
Lineage: Eukaryota; Metazoa; Chordata; Mammalia; Rodentia; Cricetidae
Description: lncRNA (ENSCGRG00000026610.1)
Source: RNAcentral